GUUACCAAUGAUGUGAGUAUGGUAUGAGCCAAGGAUUAUGAUUAAUCCAACUUUGUACACCUGUGGUACAAA
Molecule: small nucleolar RNA, 72 nt
Organism: Tursiops truncatus (common bottlenose dolphin)
Lineage: Eukaryota; Metazoa; Chordata; Mammalia; Artiodactyla; Delphinidae
Source: Ensembl